UUUUCCCCAAUGGGCGCAAGCCUGAGGGAGCAACGCCGCGUGCAGGACGACGGCCUUCGGGUUGUAAACUGCUUUUGGGGGGGAAGAUCCUGACGGUACCCCCUGAAUAAGCCCCGGCUAACUCCGUGCCAGCAGCCGCGGUAAGACGGAGGGGGCAAGCGUUGUCCGGAAUCACUGGGCGUAAAGCGCGCGUAGGUGGCUCGUUGCGUCGGUGCUGAAAGCGCCGGGCUUAACCCGGCGAGGCGUGCCGAUACGAAUGGGCUCGAGGCAGGGAGAGGGUGGCGGAAUUCCGGGUGUAGUGGUGAAAUGCGUAGAGAUCCGGAGGAACGCCGGUGGUGAAGACGGCCACCUGGCCCUGUCCUGACACUGAGGCGCGAUAGCGUGGGGAGCGAACCGG
This 397-nucleotide ribosomal RNA is filed under the name uncultured bacterium. RNAcentral describes it as "bacterial SSU rRNA". It matches the Rfam family "Bacterial small subunit ribosomal RNA", at positions 362 to 776 of the family's 1533-position model. The record is from RNAcentral.